This 492-nucleotide ribosomal RNA is filed under the name uncultured Chaetoceros. RNAcentral's name for it is "partial Bacterial large subunit ribosomal RNA". It matches the Rfam family "Bacterial large subunit ribosomal RNA", at positions 1976 to 2476 of the family's 2925-position model. Lineage: Eukaryota; Bacillariophyta; Thalassiosirophyceae; Chaetocerotales; Chaetocerotaceae. The record is from RNAcentral.
GUAAGUUCCGACCUGCACGAAUGGUGUAACGAUCUGGACACUGUCUCAGCCAUGAGCUCGGUGAAAUUGUAGUAUCGGUGAAGAUGCCGAUUACCCGCAGUGGGACGAAAAGACCCUGUGCACCUUUACUAUAGCUUAGUAUUGACCUUGGAUAAGUGAUGUGUAGGAUAGGUGGGAGACUAUGAAGUGGCGUCGCCAGGCGUUGUGGAGUCAUUGUUGAAAUACCACCCUUUGCUUAUCUGAGGCCUAACCCCAUAUUGUGGGGGACAUUGCUUGGUGGGUAGUUUGACUGGGGUGGUCGCCUCCAAAAGAGUAACGGAGGCUUCUAAAGGUUCCCUCAGUACGCUUGGUAACCGUGCGUAGAGUGCAAUGGCAUAAGGGAGCUUGACUGAGAGACAUACAGGUCGAUCAGGUACGAAAGUAGAGCAUAGUGAUCCGGUGGUUCCGCAUGGAAGGGCCAUCGCUCAAAGGAUAAAAGGUACGCCGGGGAUA